This is a long non-coding RNA of Ictidomys tridecemlineatus (thirteen-lined ground squirrel), 725 nucleotides long. RefSeq lists it as uncharacterized. NCBI's taxonomy places the organism in Eukaryota, Metazoa, Chordata, Mammalia, Rodentia, Sciuridae. The record is from RefSeq and is a predicted model, not a curated record.
GCCUGGAGUAACUCCGAGCCUCUGCCCUGGGAAGCGGGGCAGCUCUUCACAUUCCAGACAUUCUUAGAGGGUACAGAGGAGGCGGGAAGAAAGGCUAUUCCCAGUUCUCCGCCUCAGUGCCAACGAUACCCCGUGGGCAUGAUCCUAGGCAGGCACAAGGGCAGGUGGCCUUGGGAGCCAAGGCAGGGCCCUGCUCCUGGAGGUGCCCACCCGGGGCUCGGGCUUCCAAGGCAGACUCCAGGAGCCGUCUCCCUCCAUCCAGCCACACACUCAGCCCUGCUUUCUCAGGAGCGGACUCUUCCAGAAGCAGCUCUGGGAAAUCAUGGAGGACUGAGGCCCUGAGCUCCCAGCCGACAGCCAGUGCCAGCUUCCAGGAGGUGCGUACGCCAUCUUGAAUUUUCCAGCACGCUUGACCUCGGGACCGCAGACAAGGACCAGGGGAGUCGGUCCACAGAAAAUGAAGAUAAUAUCUUAAUCUUUUAAACCACUGAAACUAGCAAGGCCCUGGAACACGGUGUUGAUGGAAGUGGCAAAGUAUCAUCAUACUUCCAGCCUCGGAAGGAAGGUCUUCAAUAUUUCACCAUUUAUGAUGUUUGGAUUAAGAUUUUUUUCCUUGUUAAUUCCUUUUAUCAGAUUAUGGAUAUUCCUUUUUGUUUCUAAUUUGCUAAGAAUCUUUAAACAGUAAUUUUAAAAAUUUUUACUAAAUCCUUUCUUGUAUAUUUUGA